ACAAGCCUGAGAAACGGCUAGUAGGACUAAGGUCUGCAGCAGGCGCGAAACUUACACAAUGCUAGAUUAUGUGAAUAGCGAUGUAGUGAAGAAAAAUAACGAUGUACUUGUAUUUAAACAUACUUGUACAAUUGGAAUGAGACGACUCUAAACCAGUCAGUCGAGUAACAAAUGGAGGGCAAGUCUGGUGCCAGCAGCCGCGGUAAUUCCAGCUCCAUUAGCAUACAUUAAAGUUGUUGCGGUUAAAAAGCUCGUAGUUGAAUUUUGGACGCUGCCUGGUGGGUUGGGUGCGUGAAGGGCCGCUUGUAAUCUCCGGAUUCUUCGGCCUGUAUCCAGUUCCCGCACGGGCGGCGUUGUUUCGUCACUUAAUCGAGUGCGAAGCGGGGGUUAUUGGAUAAAGGAGAGCAAUCUCCUUCCAUUGACCCAUGUUUACCUUGAGAAAAUUAGAGUGCUCAGAGCAGGCAGUUGGGGUGUAAAAGCCCCUUUAUGCUUGAAUAAUGUUGCAUGGAAUAAUAGAAUACGGCCUCGGUUCUAUUCUGUUGGUCUUAUAGAACAACAAACAAGUUGGUUUAGGCACUAAACGGCGAGUUGGGAAGCGUGGUUUGUUUGGGGGCUUGUUGUCUGGGGCCUAAAAAUCUCAGUACCUUCUCCCAUCUAGCCAUCAAGCGCCCCCUCCUUGUCAGCCCCAAGCCAACUGAGGCAAUGGUUAAAAGAAAUAGUCGCGGCGGCAUCAGUACUGCAUCGUGAGAG
This 750-nucleotide ribosomal RNA is filed under the name Abacarus hystrix. RNAcentral's name for it is "partial 18S ribosomal RNA". It matches the Rfam family "Eukaryotic small subunit ribosomal RNA", at positions 389 to 910 of the family's 1831-position model. Lineage: Eukaryota; Metazoa; Arthropoda; Arachnida; Trombidiformes; Eriophyidae. The record is from RNAcentral.